UCCUUCCACCAUGUUGUUUAGCCAUUAAGUUCCACUUUGAUGGUCUAACUCCAUAUGAAGGUAUGGGUGAGGGCCCUCUGCCUACAGGUGCUCUAACUCCAUAUGAAGGUAUGGGUGAGGGCCCUCUGCCUACAGGUGCUGCUGACAUUGGGUUUGAGUCCCUGCCACCUACAUCACCCGCGUCUCCCCAGGCCAGGUGAGUCGGCAGACGCUCUUGGUCUCUUUGGGAGCGGGAGACAACUUGUGUGAACAGAGGGGGAGAUAUGAG
Long non-coding RNA from Gadus macrocephalus (Pacific cod), 268 nucleotides. RefSeq lists it as uncharacterized. The record is from RefSeq and is a predicted model, not a curated record. The transcript is spliced from 3 exons. NCBI's taxonomy places the organism in Eukaryota, Metazoa, Chordata, Actinopteri, Gadiformes, Gadidae.